Long non-coding RNA from Rhagoletis pomonella (apple maggot), 310 nucleotides. RefSeq lists it as uncharacterized. Lineage: Eukaryota; Metazoa; Arthropoda; Insecta; Diptera; Tephritidae. The transcript has 2 exons. The record is from RefSeq and is a predicted model, not a curated record.
UUUAGGUGUCACAGAAACCAAUAAUAUCGAUUUUGGUAUCGGAAACAAACCAAGCAGCUAACGGCUGUUGGAUUUCAUUUGUUUAUUAGUUUUCCUUACUUCCAGUUGGAUAUUUUAUAAAAAUAGCCGGGAUAGAGUGCAUCGACGGCUCGAAUUUUUAUGUCACCAUCACACAUCUAAAUAAAAAUGUACAUGCAUAUAUAUAAAUCAAGGCAAUGUACGAGUAAAAUGAAGAUUCAUGAUUACUUACAAUCAGGGCAUUCAUACUGAAUUAUUUUCGAUUAUAAAAUAAAUGUUCGUCAAUACUGGG